UCUGAAGCCUCACUUAUGGGUAGACACACUGCAUAGGAACUUUCCCAAUUACCUGAGACUCCCACCAUCAGCUGUAAUGGGGCUGCCACCCUUGAAGUGUGGGCCUGGAUGAUGAUUCAGUAAUAAUUGUAGAGCAAAGCUUGCUCCUCAGGCAACAAAAAAGACUUGUUUUUCCCUGCUUCAGGAAUUAUCCAAGCCAGACCAUGUUAAAAUUGUGAGCUAUUGGUUUGAGCCUGCAUUCAGCAGUGAAGAAGGGGAAAUAUGGUAAUUGUAUAGCAGCUGAACUACAACUGAACAAUCCAAUGUGACUCCAGAUCUGCUAAAUCGUUGCCCCAAACAAACCACCCUCCAUGCGCAGUGGCAGAACAUCUGAGGAGAUAGCAGAGACUUGGCUGAGAAAUAGGAAGACAUGAGACCACAGAGACAAAGGACACUGUUCACACUGCCGCAGCUGUUGUCCAAUCCACAUUCAUCCAUUCCUGGAAAAGUUUUUGCUCUUGCUUUCCUUGCCAGAACACAGCUGCUGCUGACUAAUGAGUCAUGCUCAGAAUAAGCACAUUUUGCGGCAAGUAAACCACAGACACUAUGCUUCCCCCAUGACUAUUGAUGGGGAAUGUAACUGAAAUAUAAGUUCUCUUUAAAUAGCCCUAUGAUAGCUUAAAAUAUAUUUUAUUUCGAUAAACAGGUGGGGGGCUUAUGGAGCACUAUGCAUUAUACACCUACCUUUAUAUGAAUGGUGCAAAAUAGGGUGGGUCUUACAGAUCAUGUCUGAGUAAUAAUUUUUAUGGGUUAAAGCGGAUUUCUAAUUUUUCAGUGUAAAAGUUUACAAAGGUAUAUGAAAAAUGCAUUUUCCUUUCACAUGUAGCAGGAUGGCAAGCACAAAUGCAACCCAAACUGAAAUUAUUCUGAAAUCCUAUGAUCUUGUUAACGCUUAGGUAAUUUCUCAAUGAAUUAUUUACAAAUCUCUGCUCCUUAGACGUGCUCACCACUGCCUACUGAAUACAUGAUCCAGGUUAUUUCACCUUCCUUUUGCAUUAUCAUGCACUUCCCACGGUCUUGCCAGUCUUAUUUCUUACUUCAUUUCUUCUGUUUUAUCUUAUUCAUUCCAGGGCAUACAACUCAACUUAAGAAUUUAAUUAUAUUUUAGCAGGUAAAGUUUAAAAGUUUUGAGUCAGAUGCAACACUGGAUGAUUUUUACAUCACCUAGUAUAAUAUAAUAUACCAGUUUAUACUUUAUAUUAAUAUACAGUUCUCUUUAUUAGAUGAAUGCACGGUUUGCCUCCUCCUCAGAUGACACAACUAUUUAAAUCCUGUAUUAACUAGGAUUUAAACAAACUUAUCAGCUUUAUGAUAGCUUGCUUUAUGGUUGAAGGGGGUUCAGUUGGCCAGUUGUCAUUCAUCACAGUGAAAUAGCACUGAUAUUUACUGAUUAUUGAACCUUCAACAAGCUGGAUACACAGUAUUUCCUUACCAGCUGACACUGUAUUUAGUUGCUAGCACAUUUGUAUUCUGAAACUAAUGUUAUGAGGCUAUUUGGUUUUAUAUUCCUGGAAGUGUAUAUUACCAUAAAAUGCAAGUACUGACUGGCCAUGAAUUGUUCAUUUCUUAAUGGUUUAAAAUCAUCGUCAAAGUUGUUCGACUGAAAUUAUUUCACUUUUUUUAGCCCCUGAUGUUCAAAAUGUAUGAUAUUAUUUAGUUACAAGAACUGAACUCCUUAUUAAAUAUUUUAUAUUA
Pezoporus flaviventris is the source of this 1734-nucleotide long non-coding RNA. RefSeq lists it as uncharacterized. NCBI's taxonomy places the organism in Eukaryota, Metazoa, Chordata, Aves, Psittaciformes, Psittacidae. The transcript is spliced from 3 exons. The record is from RefSeq and is a predicted model, not a curated record.